AGAUUUGGAUAGACAUUUUUAGCAACAAUUUACUGCAAAAAGAAAAAGAAGCAUUUCUUCUUCUUCUGAAAAGUUCAAGUCUUUUUUUCAGAAAAUUCAGAUUUUUUUUUCUUCUUUUGUUUUCCAAAGGCUGAAAAUGACUUGAAGUAGGGCUUUCUCUCUUGGUUUCUUUUGGUUGAGAUCUCGGGGUUUUUCAACGUUUGAAUUUGGUUGCUGGGCUGUUUAUUGUUGCUGUUACUCCUUCUCUUUGGAAUUUCAGUGUUGUUCUAGUGACUACCAUUUGUUCUCUUUUCUUGAACCACCUUUAGGUAUGUAAUCAUGCUUCAAUUAUGAAAUGAAUCUGUUUGUCUAAACUUGAAGUUCUUCAUGAAUAUGUAUGUAUGGUUGAGGGCAAUGUGUGUUUAUUUUUGUCAAGCUUGUUUGGUAUUUUGGUAUGCACUGCAAUAGUAUAGCCUUGAUUCAUAGUAAAACAUUUAGUUGAGAUUGUUGUUUAUGCUUCUUUGAAGUAGUAUUUUUCUCUUCCUUCAUUUGAUUUCCUCACUAAAAUAUCUUUUUCUGAUUCUUUUCUUACUAUUUGGUCAUGAGCUAUAACCUGUUGGUUCAGCCACCAGUUGGUUGGAUCAGUUGGUUUAGAAGCUCUAAGGUGGGAUUUAUAUGUUAACAAAAGAAGAUGAAGCUACUAUGGACAAAGCCAUGUUCAAAAGAGACAGGGAUCUUCUACUAGUAUACAAAUCUGUAAUAGUUUAGUUUGAGAUUUGGUCAGUAAAUUAGUGUUAGAUUAGCUUGUCAUUUAGAAUAUUUUUUUCAAGAAAGCAGUGGCAUGAAUUAACAGUAAUACAAAGCUUGUUAUUGGUGUAAAGUUUGUCAUUCAAUACUAGGAGUUUUGUAGUAAUUGGACUGUCUAAGUGUUUGGUUAAACAAGUUCUAUGUGUAAAUUCGAACUUACAUUUCACAGGCUGGGUUGCAAUUAAUGCGCUUAAGUGUGUGUUCUUGGUAAAUUUAAGGUAUAAUUUUGUGAACAACAUUUAUUGAGUUAAGAUGUCUCUUACUGGAUUUUUUUAGAGAUUUGAGUGUUUGGUUUGGACUUGGUUAAGGUUCAAGUCAAGACAGCCUGUUGAAAGUCGUGUUUGGGAUGCCCUUAUUUGAGUUCACUCUUUGCCUUUGAGGCUCAACUUCAGGCCCAAAUGACCUUUGAGCUCUUGUUCCAUAUCCUCAAGCAUGAUAAAUGUUCUCUUUUGUAGAGUUGGGCUGGAAUCGGCCCAAUUAAAACCAUGCCUUUGAUUUCUCAUUGUGUGCUCCUAUAAAUAAGUAGUUGUACAUUUUGAAUCCAGCCAUGUAUAGUUCAGGUUUACAGAUAG
RNAcentral lists this long non-coding RNA (1358 nucleotides) under Nicotiana tabacum (common tobacco). RNAcentral's name for it is "long non-coding RNA (NTAB_LNC007498)". Lineage: Eukaryota; Viridiplantae; Streptophyta; Magnoliopsida; Solanales; Solanaceae. The record is from RNAcentral.